RNAcentral lists this long non-coding RNA (1162 nucleotides) under Cricetulus griseus (Chinese hamster). RNAcentral's name for it is "lncRNA (ENSCGRG00015032107.1)". Lineage: Eukaryota; Metazoa; Chordata; Mammalia; Rodentia; Cricetidae. The record is from RNAcentral.
CAGCUCUCUUCAGUAUGCCCCGCCUCCCAGGAGCUGAGAAGUGUGUUUUACUGGGCAGACAAUGGCACUCUUGAGAUGUUCAUAGAGGUUGUUGUCUAAUCUAGGCUUGUUUCAUUUCAUCUGCUGACAUAACUCUUACAUAGAACAAGAGAGGAGUGUGCAACACAACACAGGAAAUGCACCCGUUCAUUCUACCAGCAUCCAGGGCGGAGCGCUACUCUCUGGAUGAUGCAAUUGGGGAACACCAGAUGACUAAAGCAUGGUUGCAUAGGGCAGAUGUGAAAACAGAUAAUUAAAAUAACACAGCCAAGUGCUGAAUAAGGUUUGUACUGAUGGCUGAGGGAACACAAAGAGGAUAUAAUUCUUUGCCAGAGGGAGUCAAGAGGCUGAAAAGGAUGGAGAUGAAGGAGGAGUUGGUGCCGCCCAGACACUUGAGAACAGUAGGGCUUAGACAAACUGGGUGAUGCCCACCCACCUUGAAGAGAGUCAUCUGCUCUGCUCUCCCCAUUGACUCAAAUGGUGAUCUCCUCCAGAAGUACCAUCAGAGACACAUCCAAAUAAUUUUGGUAUCUUUAGUGUCUCUCUGGGUAUUCUUCAUCCCAGUCAAAUUGACAAUAAAAUGAACCAUCAUACUAAGAGCGUGGAAACAUCAAAGAGAGCCGCAGUUGAGAGCAAUGGAACCUCAGAGUGGAUACAUUCAUUGACUGGGUCCCUCUUUAAUUUGCACCAGUCUCCAAAGAUUCAUCACAGAAAUCAUUGUGGAAACUAUACCACCAAGAGUUUAUCAUUUGAUUUUUUUUUAUAACUUUUCAACAUCACAUUUGGUUUAUACCUUUCAUUUGGUUGGUUUUUCUGUGUUUUAGAAGCAGGUUGAGUUAAAAUGGAAGAAUGAUGGCUGUGGCAAUGUAUAGUGAUUUCAAUGUACCCAGGAGUCAUGUUGGCAAGUGACAUGAAAAGUAGAUACCUUGCUCUACAAUUAAGCCCAGUACAAGCAAUUUCAUUUCCACAAAACAUCACCACACACAUGAAGUGGAUGUUGUCAGGUUCAAUGUUUUCUUGUUUGCAUUUAACUGGUAAAUAUUUUCCUGAUGGUGUAAUGGAUAUGAGUGUGUGGAAUGUACAGCUCUCUUCUGUGCUUGUAUAUAACACUGUAAUAAAAAAU